This 148-nucleotide non-coding RNA is filed under the name Gorilla gorilla gorilla (western lowland gorilla). Lineage: Eukaryota; Metazoa; Chordata; Mammalia; Primates; Hominidae. The record is from Rfam by way of RNAcentral.
GCCGGGCACCGUGGUGGGUGCCUGUAAUCCCAGCUACUCGGGAGGCUGAGGCAGGAGAAUUGCUUGAACCUGGGAGGCGGAGGUUGUAGUGAGCCAAGAUUGCACCACUGCCAUCCAGCCUGGGCAACAGAGCGAGACUCUGUCUCAA